RNAcentral lists this ribosomal RNA (253 nucleotides) under uncultured bacterium. RNAcentral's name for it is "partial 16S ribosomal RNA". It matches the Rfam family "Bacterial small subunit ribosomal RNA", at positions 524 to 776 of the family's 1533-position model. The record is from RNAcentral.
UACGAAGGGGGCUAGCGUUGCUCGGAAUCACUGGGCGUAAAGCGCACGUAGGCGGCUUUUUAAGUCAGAGGUGAAAUCCUGGAGCUCAACUCCAGAACUGCCUUUGAUACUGGAGAGCUUGAGUCCGGGAGAGGUGAGUGGAACUGCGAGUGUAGAGGUGAAAUCCGUAGAUAUUCGCAAGAACACCAGUGGCGAAGGCGGCUCACUGGCCCGGUACUGACGCUGAGGUGCGAAAGCGUGGGGAGCAAACAGG